AACGAACGCUGGCGGCAGGCUUAACACAUGCAAGUCGAACGCCCCGCAAGGGGAGUGGCAGACGGGUGAGUAACGCGUGGGAACGUACCCUUUACUACGGAAUAACUCAGGGAAACUUGUGCUAAUACCGUAUGUGCCCUUCGGGGGAAAGAUUUAUCGGUAAAGGAUCGGCCCGCGUUGGAUUAGCUAGUUGGUGGGGUAAAGGCCUACCAAGGCGACGAUCCAUAGCUGGUCUGAGAGGAUGAUCAGCCACACUGGGACUGAGACACGGCCCAGACUCCUACGGGAGGCAGCAGUGGGGAAUAUUGGACAAUGGGCGCAAGCCUGAUCCAGCCAUGCCGCGUGAGUGAUGAAGGCCCUAGGGUUGUAAAGCUCUUUCAACGGUGAAGAUAAUGACGGUAACCGUAGAAGAAGCCCCGGCUAACUUCGUG
RNAcentral lists this ribosomal RNA (431 nucleotides) under uncultured organism. RNAcentral's name for it is "bacterial SSU rRNA". It matches the Rfam family "Bacterial small subunit ribosomal RNA", at positions 29 to 507 of the family's 1533-position model. The record is from RNAcentral.